UACGGAGAAUGCAAGCGUUAUCCGGAAUGAUUGGGCGUAAGGCGUCCGCAGGUGGCAAUGUAAGUCUGCUGUCAAAGCGUCUGGCUCAACCAGAUAAAGGCAGUGGAAACUACAUAGCUAGAGUAAGGUAGGGGUAGAGGGAAUUCCUGGUGUGGCGGUGAAAUGCGUAGAGAUCAGGAAGAACACCGGUGGCGAAAGCGCUCUGCUGGACCUUAACUGACACUGAGGGACGAAAGCUAGGGGAGCGAAUGGG
This 253-nucleotide ribosomal RNA is filed under the name uncultured bacterium. RNAcentral describes it as "partial 16S ribosomal RNA". It matches the Rfam family "Bacterial small subunit ribosomal RNA", at positions 524 to 776 of the family's 1533-position model. The record is from RNAcentral.